CUUAUAGAAGCAGACAAGUCCGUGUAACCACUAGGCUGUUAACCUUGGCUUUCUCCAAUUUCGUAAGUUGCGUAGCAAUUAUCACAACACUUUAGGACUUAGUGUAGGUUGUUCCGCGCUUGGCAGAGGUGAAGCUUAUCAACUAUGUAGCAUGUCGGUAGUGGAUAAAACUUCGCAUAUGCAUGCUAGCUUGUUUAACCUUUCACAAGAAUGUGCAGUUGUAUAAGUCUAGCGCGGCUUUACUGCUCGAAAGGUAAGCCGUAGGCAGUCUUCCAGAAUCCGUAGGCUACCUCAGUGCACUAGGUAGCAGCUUUAGGGUUCUAGGGCAACCGUCUGUAGGGCGUACUGUGUAAUGUGCCCCCUCCGUCUCUAGGGCCCGAUUCCACACAGAUUAGGCCAAGACACCAAAAAUCCUUCAGUUAGUUAAGUCUUGACAAAGACCAUUGUGGCUAUUUCUAGGAAUUCUGGCACAAGCCAUCAUGCAUCUAGUUAUACUAGGGUAGCCAGGCUCAUCCACGUUUGGAUAUUCGGAGUGUAAAAUUUAUCCUCCCAUCUUGGAAAGCUGACCCAUAUGGGUGUCGGAGAAUUGGUUUACCCUCUUGUACUAGAGAGCAAUUAGUUUACCCUCUCUCACUGGAGAGUAAUUAGUUUAUCUUUUCGCACUGGAGAGCAUGGUUGGUCCCUCGGGGGGCACAAUUCCUGUGAUGAAUCACUAAGUAGGGCACAUUCUUCUUUUGAAGUGCAGGAGUGAUCAGUUGUUGUAAGUAUGUAGCCGAGCCAAUUUGUGAUUACUUCUGAAUUCCUCAUUGAAAAAAUGAGUGAAACGAAUGAGAACUUAGCUGUAAGGUAGGAAUUGCAUAACAACUGGAUAGUCAUCAACUUGUGAGGUGGUGCCCGUUGAGCUUCUUGAGUCUUCAGGUUUUGAUGUAGCGGGAGGUCACACAUGGUACUUCUUUAGAUUGUAGGCCAUCCACUGUUUUUUUAUCUUUUUGCCGUUUCAUGGUGGCGAGGGUGUAAUUACUCUUGCCGCCUUCUCUGCUGAUAUUGUACAGACUUUCCCAAAUGAGAUUCAUCUUUUUGGAGCCUUCUCUGCGAGCAGUGAUGAAGGCCUUAAGACUAGAUCUAUGGGCUGGAACUGUCGGAUCUUGGCCCUUUUGUUAUAGCUGGAGAGGAACUGCUGCUGGUAAGCUGCGAUGCAGGUGAUAGUCUGCUCGUACUUCUCCUCUGCCAGAUUUAAGCUAGUGGCCAUCUCAUUUCGGUUGCUCGUCUUUUGGUGGUAUGAUAUGCCCAUAGACAUUCUUGGAGUUUGUCUGGCAAUUUUCUUUUUGUAUUGGUGGGGUAUAUCUUGUAGCAGUUGAGGAUCAUCUUAGUGGAUGCUUUGGCCCGCCUAUUGCCUUGAGGAUAUCUUGGCGUAGACAUGUGCUGCUUGAUGCCAUAUUUUUAGAAGAACUUUGCCAAAUCUUUGCCCAUAAAUUACGGGUUGUUGUCGGUGACGAUGGAUUAAGGGAUGCCAAAUCGGCAAAUGAUGCUCCUUCAUAUGAAGCGCUAUAUGUCCGUCUGAACCAUGAUCAUCAUGGGCUCUGCUUCUACUUAUUUGGUGAAGUAGUCGGUUGCCACGAUCAUCAUGCCUUUGCCCUUAGUAGUCUGGUUGGUGAUUAGCUAGGACUUAAAAUGAAUUGAAAGCUUUUCCACCACAAAGUCUUUUGUCAUUCGAAUGCCUGUUAGUGGGGCUUCGUACUCUGCUUCGUUGUUAGAUGCUUUGAAGCUUAGAGUGAUCGCCUCAUCGAGCAUUAAAACGUUUGGGGUGGUAAGAACCGCGGCUGCUUACAAGCCUUCGUAGUUGGAUGUGCCGUCGACAUAUCUUCAUUGAGGGAGCAGGUGUGGCUAAAGUGCGCUCGGCUGCCUUCGGGGCGUUGUUGAGCUGCUCUGUUGCAUUGUCAAGGCUAGGCUUGAAGGAGCGGUAGGGAGCUAUGGAGCUGGGGCCAUGUUACAUGUAGCAGGAUAUGCUUAACUUCUGGUAUUAGGCCACUCUAGAGCUGAAUAAUAGAGCAAGGGUCAGCUAGGGUCGUGUGACGUGCUAUAGGAGGUAGUGUUCGACUGCCAGUACAUGUUGCUCUUACGUAGAAUCUUCUGGGGUGAUGAGGACAAAACUUGCUUUUGAGUGUUCCUUCUAGUGUUCGUCUAUCCUUGGCAUGUCUUUUAGGCCGAGUUGUUGCAUUUGUCAGAAAACUUUGCAUCUGCCAAGGUCUACGCCUUUAUCAUCGCGGGUUUAGAUUCGGCAGAAUAGUGCGUUAUGAUGAUGAUUGCAUGCGUUUGAAGGUAAAACUUAAGCUUUUGGGUUACAAUAACUAUCGCCAAAGUUAGCUUUUGAAUUUUUAAUAGCAUUGAGGAAAGCUUUUGAACUGUAGAAUACAACAGCUCUUCUCGCAUAAUGGUAGAGCUUAUUACUACUUUAGAUACUGUCAAACAUGCGAAUAAGUCAUCCGCUGCUUCUAGGAAGGUGAUGUCGGGUACUUCUUCAAGUCCUUGAAUGUGCAUUGGCGAGCCUCAUCCCAAAGUACAUGCUUCUCUGUGAUAGGAGCAUAUUUAUGCGCCUUAGUUAGCUAGUUCUUAUGCAUUUUAGUUAUGUUUUCUUAGUUUAAAGUAGUCUUUUAAGUUAGUUUCAUGUGUUUUCAGGUUUUAAGAGCAUAUUACAUAAAAUGAUGCAAUUUGGAGCAUUUGAGAGCAAAAUUGAGCUGGAAUGGAGUGUAUGCUUAUGGAGCACAAGGAAUGGACGAGUUUGAAGGUCAAAGGAGCUUAAGAAAUGAAGAAAUGAAAGUGAAGUACAAAGAAGUCGGAAUUGGCAACCAAAGUUUCUAAAGUUGGAAGUUUCUAUUCUUAGAGGUUUCCAUUUUCGAGAGUUUCUAUUCUUGGUUUUGGGCUUUCUAGAAGCCCUAUCUACAAACCCUAACCCUAGCCCACUAAUCAGCCGCACCUAGCCUUCUAGAACACCUAUUUCCUUGCCUUGCAAGGCAUUCUAGAAGGCCCAUCUCUAACCCUAGCCGCACCUAAACCCUAGCCCAUUGUCUAACCUGAUUUCUUUAGGGUUUGUGGUGCCUAUAUAUAUGUGUUUUAAGCCUAAAUUCAUCACCCCCCAUAUCAUCCAUUCACUCCAGAAAAUCAUUCUAAACCCUUGCCGCAACCACCAAUCCCAUUCUCCCUAGUUCUAAGUCCUUGCCGUGCCUCCCUAGUCCUUUUAACCCUUCUACCCUCUUUCAUAACCAUCCAUCCACCACAGCCGUGCCUUCCCACCACCAUCACCACCUUGUGCAGCCACCAAAGGAGGAGAAAGAAGGAGUGCCGUGCAGUCCAAAAGAGGAAGACACCUUGCACAUGCAAUCUGCCAUUAGUGGAGUGUUUGGAGUU
This 3405-nucleotide long non-coding RNA is filed under the name Malus domestica (apple). RNAcentral describes it as "long non-coding RNA (MDOM_LNC015153)". Lineage: Eukaryota; Viridiplantae; Streptophyta; Magnoliopsida; Rosales; Rosaceae. The record is from RNAcentral.